UCGCAGAGAGGUGUCCUUCCUCCGCUCCCCCGUGGAGGGCACCAGCUCAUACGGAACAUCCACUCUCCCCGUACCCGUUACUGCUGCGAGGCCACUUUUCAUCCUUACACUAACCUCCGCUGUUUUCUCCAAUCUUGCCCUCAGCUGCUCCUUGUUUCCCUCCCAGUAGAAAACAACCCUGCGCCAAACAGAAGAAGGGGAUUGUGUCAAUUAAAUGAGAGCUUUAUGGCUCAUAUGUGCUGUGACCGUGUGAAAGGCACAGGAAGGAAAGGACGUGCUUCCUCUGAUGCUCCUGCUGCUGCGGGCCAGAGGAGAUAAGAACGCUCACACAUGGAUGCACACACCGCCACGAACAAACAAUCACAACACAGAUCCACGCUGCCUAUGCUAACACUCCCUCCCUCCUGCAGAUCAGCUUCCACGUGGUUUGGCCUUAAUCAACCCCCCUGCUCACCCUCCUCUUCCAGCUCCCCCUCACACAUUGUGGCCUGCCACCUCCGUGUCUCUCUGUGGCGCAGUGGGACAGCCAGCGAGGCCUGUGGCAGGAGUGCUGAGCCCAGGCCUGGAUUUGGAGCACGGCUGCUCUUGGUUGAGCGGGAUCCAGGCCCCCUGAGGGCGGAGAGGACAGGGAGGGCCGAGAAGACAUGCAGAGGACAGCUCUGCACCAAUCGGGAGACGGAGAGAGCUUGUGUCAAUUAAAUGGGCGACAACAGGCCAGAGCACAGCACAAAGGGUGGAGAUGAUACAGCACACAUGCACAAACCACACUGACACUUCACGUGAGAGAGUGAAGUGACUGUGGCCAGACAUGGAUCAAUCCAACCCGGAAUUGGGUUUCAUAUCCCGGAAGCAGAGAUGUACACAUGGGUCACUGUCAUCGACUCGCUGCGGCCAUGGCCAGAGUCAGGACAGGGCUCGGCGGAGGAUUGAAGGAGAGAAGAUGAAGGGAAGGAUGAAGAGCGAGAUGAGGCACAGGCGAGGAGAAGAGGAAAACUGAGAUUCCAGCAGCGCGUCUGAAACACACUACAAGAAAAAGGACCUAUCCAUGCAUGUGCACCGGCUGCCCGGAGGGCGGGCUUCCCUGCCAAGACCCCUUUGGAUCUGGAUGAGCUCAAACUCCGUCGGUAUGGGAGGAUGCAGUGAUUGCAGUUCGGGAGCCUCCGAUCCACCACUUUCCCUGCGUGUCAUAAAGUCUGGGCUCGUCGUUCACGCUGGAUCAGAAGAUGAUGCUUUUAUCAAACAUAUUGACUGCUCUACACCCUCCCCCCCUUUUCUUCCUCUCUCCUCUGUCCAUCCUCCCUCGCUGAGUGACCCCCUUGCCUCUCGGCUCUCUCACCCCUCUCCUCUAGCCCUGGCCCUGGCCCUGCCCACCCUGGGUCAUUUAUCAUGGACCGGGAGGGGAGCCCCCGGGCCUGCAGGCCCCUGUCAGCCCCUGCAAUCGCCUCUUUGUGGCUCCCAGCAAACAAGUGUCGGAUCAGCAAAAGUCUAUUAAAGCCUGGUGGGCCUUUCUCAGCCUAUUGGGUUCGGGUCACUGAGCUGCUCUCCUUGCUGCUCCUAGAGCUCUUUGUGUCGCCGCCGUUCGCUGACACAGAUCCCCACAAGAUUAAUGAUUUUUAGCAGCCGUUUGGGUCUCAUUCGCAGGGUCCUUCUCUCUUUUUCUCUAUAUGCCCUUUUUUCCUCUCUUCUCCACUCAUUCUGUCCUGUUUUUCUUCUUUAACCCAUUUCUUCUACCACUCUCCCCGCACCUUCAGAUUUCUCGCUUUUUGCCUGGUUUACCUCUCUCCUCCUCCCAUUCGCUACUAACCCAAUCAAUGUUAGCCAUUUGUAUGGAUCAUUAUCCAUACAAGUGUGAUUUUCUUUAAUGGCUGUCCCAUAUUAAUCAAACAAUUGUCUCUCUAUUGCAGAUUUAAUGAUACAAAAGAUAUAGAGUGCAUUUGCGAAAUAUGUUUUCAGUUGUUUGUUGUGUGAGUGAUGGGCUCCUGUCUGAUGAAUCCAACUUAAGCAUCCACAUUACAGUUCUGGAUUUCCCGCAGUGAGCCUUGAGAGGCCCAGAGCAAUUUGAAAUCUUGGAGCCACUUCCACGACUUCCAUGUUGCCAUGUUCUCAGUGUUGUUUCCAGUAAUUACUGCAGGUUAAGUGCACGUCCCGGAGCCCGGUGGAGGCAGCUCUAUCCCUCACAUGGGACAUGACUCAGCACUGUUCAGGUCAUCCGGCCAUUUCCCUGACCACUGGACCACACCCCGACCUACUCUAAACCCACAGGACAAGCAGUGUUUACGAAGGACUCAUGUUCACUUACAUCAUCUGAUGUAAUGGCUGUUUUAUUUACACGCUGGUUUUCCUUUUUUGUUUUCGCAGAAACACAAGCUGACAUCGACACACAUGUUCCACAUCUCCAAAUGCACAUAAGAGCUCAAAUCUAGCUGUUUUCCUUCUACUGUAAGAGCGCUUCGUCUGUCUCCCCUCACAAAACACUUUCCACUCUUUUUGUGCUCGGAAUCACACCCAGGCUCACAUUUUGUCAAGUUUGUCUUAAAGCAACCAUCACAUGCCUAUAUGUACAUUGAAAGAGGAAUUACCUCCACCGAGGACGUUGUGUUUUCAACCCUGUCCAUUUGUUGGUUGGUUGGUUUGUUUGUCAGCGGGAUUGUUUAAGGUAUGUAAGAGUACAUUUGUGGAUGGAUCUGAACAAAGGGAGGGAUCCAGGAAUUCUUUUCAUCACUGUCUUUAUCACAAUUUUUUUUAUUUUUUGACAUUUUCACCAAUUUCCCAGGAAAUAAAUGCAUUGGUUGUUUUUUAUUAUUCAGGGGACUGAUAUCUAUGAGUGUGUUAAAUUUGGUGCAGAUCCAUAUGUAAAUCCGGAUUAUCUAUAGAUUUUACUAUUGUAUUGACUAGAGUAGGCUAGAGCAACUAUGGCAGAACGUACGGCGGAAAAACUUAGGAAGCGUUCUUCUCAUUUCACAGUCUCUGGUUGGCAUUUUUCAAAUUUUUGGGGAAGGCUAUAUAACCAUAACAUUAUGCUACCUAAAUAGAGACAUACGUUGCACAUUGCUGGUGUAACACCUUAGUUUACCAUCAGCUUUACGUUUUUCAUGAAAAGUUAUCCGUGGAAUUUGUCCAACAUCACUUAACAUCGAGGCUCAGGGGUGAUGUCCUCAGCCAGAGGGGCAAAAGGAAUGACACAUCAACCAGUAACUGUUUCACUGUAUAUGUGGGCAUGGGAGGGAUGUUGCCUGAAAAAAAAAAGAUAGAUAUGAUGCUGUUUAAGGUCUUAAAAAUCCGGACAUUUAGAAUGGCCCGACUCAUUUGCCCAUUGGUGGGAUGGAAGCCUGUUGACAUAUCAUCCCAUUUACGUUGAUGUGUUGGUACCUGUUAACAAACAGAUGCUUAUUUAAACAUCCCACAGUUACUGAGCAACAUUAAUAUUCAAUUGGCAAUGUGUGUCUGACUUCCUGGUUAAUGUACAUCCAAUGUUCACUCUCUUUCAGCUUUGUUUUUGGUCUUUAGGGACUCUUGAGGGAAAUGUGGAAAUAUUCAGCAUGUCACCUGCUAGUUGCUCACUGUGUGUUUACACGCUUGGUGCUGAGAAGGAAGUGUACAGAGAUUGUUUUUUUUAGGCCUUUUCCCGAAAACAGUGGCCCUGCUGCCUGUGACAAUGACGCCUCGAGAGCUGUGAGAGGGAACCGAACAGAGUUCUGGGGCCGACAGCUACACAACGAAAACCGAAAGGAUCAUCAGAGACCCCCGUGACCCUGACAGUUUCCCAGGAGUCCCUGGCCUAGGCAACGCCACAAACACAAUUUCCGUAAUGUCAUUUGCAGCGCGGAUGAAGGAGAGAAAGUCCUGGCUGUCAAAACCACCUCAACGUUGCGGCGACGAAAACACGACCCGACACAUGACAGAUUCUUAGCUUCUUCCCCGUACGUCAGCCUUUACCUCCUCCGACCGGCACCAUAAAGAAAGGUAGGAGCCUCUCAAUCAUCGGCGCAAUCAAUGAAGAUGAUUGGACCAGUGAACAGGAACACAUUGGGUUAACACCUCCAACCUGCUCUGCACCUGAUGUGACCCACAGCCACCCGGAGUGUGCUCACAUCCCAUUUGUCACUGCAGUUUUUCCCGGGACAGGGGGAUAAGAUUGAAUGGGCCGCCAUGGAAAUAUGAUUUUCAGUACGCAUUGUUAACUCACCGGGGAGAGGCUUUUGCCAAAUUCUAUCAAAGUGUGCAACUGUGUAUUAAAUGACUAUCAAAAGGCCAGCCAUCAUUUUUCAUGCCGUAACCAUGGUGUGCCCCAGGAAUAACCCCUCUACAAUCACAAAGGAGACUGUUGCUAUUGAUGCACUGUGAAAAUGUGUUGACAGCGAGUAUGACAGUCCUCCAGACAAAUAGGGGCCAAACAGUUUUGAAUGUGCAGUCAUGGUUAGUAUAU
Molecule: long non-coding RNA, 4426 nt
Organism: Scophthalmus maximus (turbot)
Lineage: Eukaryota; Metazoa; Chordata; Actinopteri; Pleuronectiformes; Scophthalmidae
Exons: 11
Source: RefSeq, a predicted model, not a curated record